UACGUAGGGUGCAAGCGUUGUCCGGAAUUAUUGGGCGUAAAGAGCUCGUAGGCGGUUUGUCGCGUCGAAUGUGAAAACCCGGGGCUCAACCCCGGGCCUGCAUUCGAUAUGGGCAGGCUAGAGUUCGGUAGGGGAGAUCGGAAUUCCUGGUGUAGCGGUGAAAUGCGCAGAUAUCAGGAGGAACACCGGUGGCGAAGGCGGAUCUCUGGGCCGAUACUGACGCUGAGGAGCGAAAGCGUGGGGAGCGAACAGG
Molecule: ribosomal RNA, 253 nt
Filed under: uncultured bacterium
Lineage: Bacteria
Description: partial 16S ribosomal RNA
Rfam family: Bacterial small subunit ribosomal RNA
Source: RNAcentral